CCUAGAGUUGUAGGCUUUGCCUGCUAUCUCUUACCCAUGUCUUUUGAGUACCUUCGUUUACCUCGGCGGAGUCCGCCCGCCGAUUGGACAAUUUAAACCAUUUGCAGUUGCAAUCAGCGUCUGAAAAAACUUAAUAGUUA
Molecule: unclassified non-coding RNA, 140 nt
Filed under: soil metagenome
Description: partial internal transcribed spacer 1
Source: RNAcentral